GACGAACGCUGGCGGCAUGCCUAACACAUGCAAGUCGAACGAAAACACCGGGAGUUCUUUCCCCCGGGGGUGGCACCGGGCGGAAGAUUCACUUAGGGUUGGGAUAACUCCCCGAAAGGGGUGAUAAUAACGGAUCAUUUCUUCGGACCCAAGAUAUAUCCUCCUUGGAUGGGCACGCGUGGGAUUAGAUUGUUGGUAGGGGAAAAGCCUACCCAGGGGACGAUCCAUAGCUGGUUAGAGAGGAUGAUCAGCAACACCGGGACUGGGACACGGCCGAGACUCCUACGGGAGGGAGCAGAGGGGAAUAUUGGACAAGGGGCGAAGGCCUGAUCCUGUAAUGCCGCGUGAGUGAUGAAGGCCUUAGAGUUGUAAAGCUCUUUUACCCGGGAUGAUAAUGACAGUACCGAGAGAAUAAGCUCCGGCUAACUCCGUG
Molecule: ribosomal RNA, 433 nt
Filed under: uncultured bacterium
Lineage: Bacteria
Description: partial 16S ribosomal RNA
Rfam family: Bacterial small subunit ribosomal RNA
Source: RNAcentral